UGUGAAACCCCUUCGACGAGUCGAGUUGUUUGGGAAUGCAGCUCAAAAUGGGUGGUAAAUUUCAUCUAAAGCUAAAUACUGGCUGGAGACCGAUAGCGCACAAGUAGAGUGAUCGAAAGAUGAAAAGCACUUUGGAAAGAGAGUCAAAAAGUACGUGAAAUUGUUGAAAGGGAAGCGCUUGCAACCAGACCUGUCCGCAGGUGAUCAGCCGCCGUUCUCGGUGGUGCACUCGCCUGCGAUCAGGCCAGCAUCGGUUCGGGCGGUCGGAUAAAGGCCUUGGGAAUGUAGCUCCUCUCGGGGAGUCUUAUAGCCCUCGGUGCAAUGCGGCCAGCCCGGACCGAGGACCGCGCUUCGGCUAGGAUGCUGGCGUAAUGGUUGUAAGCGACCCGUCUUGAAACACGGACCAAGGAGUCUAACAUCUAUGCGAGUGUUUGGGUGUCAAACCCAUGCGCGGAAUGAAAGUGAACGGAGGUGAGAACCCUUUAGGGCGCAUCAUCGACCGAUCCAGAUGUCUUCGGAUGGAUUUGAGUAUGAGCAUAGCUGUUGGGACCCGAAAGAUGGUGAACUAUGCCUGAAUAGGGUGAAGCCAGAGGAAACUCUGGUGGAGGCUCGCAGCGGU
Molecule: ribosomal RNA, 619 nt
Filed under: Protoparmelia aff. montagnei A GS-2015
Lineage: Eukaryota; Fungi; Ascomycota; Lecanoromycetes; Lecanorales; Parmeliaceae
Description: eukaryotic LSU rRNA
Rfam family: Eukaryotic large subunit ribosomal RNA
Source: RNAcentral